AAAUUGAAGAGUUUGAUCAUGGCUCAGAUUGAACGCUGGCGGCAGGCCUAACACAUGCAAGUCGAGCGGUAGCACAGAGAGCUUGCUCUCGGGUGACGAGCGGCGGACGGGUGAGUAAUGUCUGGGAAACUGCCUGAUGGAGGGGGAUAACUACUGGAAACGGUAGCUAAUACCGCAUAAUGUCGCAAGACCAAAGUGGGGGACCUUCGGGCCUCAUGCCAUCA
RNAcentral lists this ribosomal RNA (224 nucleotides) under Klebsiella pneumoniae. RNAcentral describes it as "partial 16S ribosomal RNA". It matches the Rfam family "Bacterial small subunit ribosomal RNA", at positions 1 to 223 of the family's 1533-position model. RNAcentral also lists the same sequence under 1 other name. The record is from RNAcentral. Lineage: Bacteria; Pseudomonadati; Pseudomonadota; Gammaproteobacteria; Enterobacterales; Enterobacteriaceae.